This 72-nucleotide transfer RNA is filed under the name Bos taurus (domestic cattle). It matches the Rfam family "tRNA". Rfam says of the family: Transfer RNA (tRNA) molecules are approximately 80 nucleotides in length. Lineage: Eukaryota; Metazoa; Chordata; Mammalia; Artiodactyla; Bovidae. The record is from Rfam by way of RNAcentral. RNAcentral also lists the same sequence under 4 other names.
UCCCUUUUAGCUCAGUUGGUAAAGAAUCUGCCUACAAUGCAGGAGACCUGGGUUCGAUUCCUGGGUUGGGAA